GCGGACGUGUGGGCUAGCCAAGGCAAGCCCAGGCGGGCACACGUAGGGAUGGCCCGCAUGACCUCAUGUGGUCCACAUGUGAGGGGUGGAUCGGGUAGCAUUUCCCCACGUGUUUUGCAUGAUCUAUGAUGGAUUUGGACAUUUUCAAGAGUGUUUCUUGCGAUCCAUGGGGUUUUCUGUGGACUAAUUUGCGAUCAAAUGGCUUCAGAGGCUCAUGGGCAUGAUCUGGGUCUUGAUCUGAUGACUGAAAAGCAAGAAAACAUGAUCUGAGGCUUUGUUUGUACGAUCUGAUGAUUGGAGAUGUUUAUGAUUAAGAUCAGAUAGGCCAGGGAGGUUUUUGUGUCAUGUUAAAGCUCUGUUACUGAGUGUGACUCAGAUUUAGGGUUUUAAAGAGCCCUAUGGGCAAUAGAAAGGUGAAGCACUGAGAUAGAGCUCAGUUUGUAGCUGAGAGGAGUUCAACGAGCAUCGAGCAUGAGCAGUCGAUAGAGCAGAUAUAGGUAGAGCCAGCAGAAUAUUAGGCAGAGCAACUGUAGAGGCAUGAUAUAGCAGUUUGCAUCAUAGGAAGCAUCCAGAGGUAUCGAGGAUCCUGAUACUGGCAGGUCUGUGAGUGGGUCCCCUUGAGGAAUUUUGAGAGAGCUUUUGUAAGAGUAGCUUCUAGUUGAGAGAGGUUUGUGUAUGGAGAGUUGAGAGUGUGAAGAUCUCCUCUUGUACUUAUUUUUCUCUUUCAUAGUGAAGCUUGUGUGCCCUAUGAAAGUAGCACUUGGGCUAUUCUACAUACUUGAUUGUGUGCUCCUAUUUUAUUUUAUUUCUUCUUUCUUUCUGCGGCAAUGAAUGGUACUGGAUCUACAACAAGUGAUAUCACAACAUGAGUUAGGUCCCAAUUUUUAAACACACAUGAUAUACUUGUUGCAUGGCUUGACUGCUUUGUAAUAAAUAGCCUCGGUCUAUUACCCUCUGCUCUAGCAUUUGAUAUGUGAUCUAUCGCUUUUAUGGAUGGCCCAAGAAUUUUAUUCCUCGGGCUUUGAUGAUUGAUAUGGCUGUCUGGCACACUGCAUGUUGUCUCAAUUUAUGAGGAGUGUAUAGGGGGAGCAUGUCAAUCUUGUUGUAUAUGAUAGCUAGAGAGGUUAUUCCUAGUAUAGUGGGUUCUGUGGAUCGAUUGAGAUGAAGACCCCUAGCCGGGGCAUGGCAGUUAUCAGAGGAAUGGCCUGGUGGCGAGCAAGAGGCACGCAUGAGGCUUUGGACCCUUGGUUAGGGCAUGGUAGGUUGUGCAAGUAGGGAGAUACAACUCAAACGGUCAGAUCCAGUGCUAUUAGGGGGGACUUUAGAUGCCCGAAUCCAUUGAACAUGAGUAGAGGGAGCUUUAGGGUCGGAAGAGAAUGGCGAUGUCGGCUGGGGGAACUCAAAUCUAUGGACCCAAUGAAGCAUGCAGCCUGUUGUGGCUAGAAUCCAUCCUAGACCAAAGGCACUGGAGCGGGGCAAUGUUCGGUGCGUCAGUGGCAAUCAGACUUUCAAGAAAAGCCCCCAUCGAAGGUGGCUUCGGUGGGGACAUUCUGAUGCUCAAGUCAGAUUUUUUAUAGCAGAUGAAAAAGAGCAAGCAUUUAUGAGGGGGAG
Molecule: long non-coding RNA, 1611 nt
Filed under: Elaeis guineensis (African oil palm)
Lineage: Eukaryota; Viridiplantae; Streptophyta; Magnoliopsida; Arecales; Arecaceae
Description: long non-coding RNA (EGUI_LNC033073)
Source: RNAcentral